RNAcentral lists this ribosomal RNA (497 nucleotides) under uncultured bacterium. RNAcentral's name for it is "partial 16S ribosomal RNA". It matches the Rfam family "Bacterial small subunit ribosomal RNA", at positions 28 to 507 of the family's 1533-position model. The record is from RNAcentral.
GAUGAACGCUGGCGGCGUGCCUAAUACAUGCAAGUCGAGCGAACGGACGAGAAGCUUGCUUUUCUGAUGUUAGCGGCGGACGGGUGAGUAACACGUGGAUAACCUACCUAUAAGACUGGGAUAACUUCGGGAAACCGGAGCUAAUACCGGAUAAUAUUUUGAACCGCAUGGUUCAAAAGUGAAAGACGGUCUUGCUGUCACUUAUAGAUGGAUCCGCGCUGCAUUAGCUAGUUGGUAAGGUAACGGCUUACCAAGGCAACGAUGCAUAGCCGACCUGAGAGAGGGAUAGCCCGCGCGGGAAGUGAGACGCGGUCAAGACGCCUACGGGAGGGAGCAGAAGGGAAUGUGACGCAAUGGGCGAAAACAUGACGGAGCAACGGCAAGCGAGUGAUGAAAGUCUUCGGAGCGUGAAACUGUGUUAUGAGGGAAGAACAGAUGUGGAAGUAACUGUGCACAUCGUGACGGUACCGAAUAAGAAAGCAACGGCUAACUACGUG